RNAcentral lists this ribosomal RNA (765 nucleotides) under Escherichia coli. RNAcentral describes it as "partial 23S ribosomal RNA". It matches the Rfam family "Bacterial large subunit ribosomal RNA", at positions 473 to 1239 of the family's 2925-position model. The record is from RNAcentral. Lineage: Bacteria; Pseudomonadati; Pseudomonadota; Gammaproteobacteria; Enterobacterales; Enterobacteriaceae.
CUCCUGACUGACCGAUAGUGAACCAGUACCGUGAGGGAAAGGCGAAAAGAACCCCGGCGAGGGGAGUGAAAAAGAACCUGAAACCGUGUACGUACAAGCAGUGGGAGCCUCUUUUAUGGGGUGACUGCGUACCUUUUGUAUAAUGGGUCAGCGACUUAUAUUCUGUAGCAAGGUUAACCGAAUAGGGGAGCCGAAGGGAAACCGAGUCUUAACCGGGCGUUAAGUUGCAGGGUAUAGACCCGAAACCCGGUGAUCUAGCCAUGGGCAGGUUGAAGGUUGGGUAACACUAACUGGAGGACCGAACCGACUAAUGUUGAAAAAUUAGCGGAUGACUUGUGGCUGGGGGUGAAAGGCCAAUCAAACCGGGAGAUAGCUGGUUCUCCCCGAAAGCUAUUUAGGUAGCGCCUCGUGAAUUCAUCUCCGGGGGUAGAGCACUGUUUCGGCAAGGGGGUCAUCCCGACUUACCAACCCGAUGCAAACUGCGAAUACCGGAGAAUGUUAUCACGGGAGACACACGGCGGGUGCUAACGUCCGUCGUGAAGAGGGAAACAACCCAGACCGCCAGCUAAGGUCCCAAAGUCAUGGUUAAGUGGGAAACGAUGUGGGAAGGCCCAGACAGCCAGGAUGUUGGCUUAGAAGCAGCCAUCAUUUAAAGAAAGCGUAAUAGCUCACUGGUCGAGUCGGCCUGCGCGGAAGAUGUAACGGGGCUAAACCAUGCACCGAAGCUGCGGCAGCGACACUGUGUGUUGUUGGGUAGGGGAGCGU